RNAcentral lists this ribosomal RNA (420 nucleotides) under Fusobacteriota bacterium. RNAcentral describes it as "Fusobacteria bacterium partial 16S ribosomal RNA". It matches the Rfam family "Bacterial small subunit ribosomal RNA", at positions 355 to 776 of the family's 1533-position model. Lineage: Bacteria; Fusobacteriati; Fusobacteriota. The record is from RNAcentral.
UGGGGGAUAUUGCACAAUGGGCGAAAGCCUGAUGCAGCGACGCCGCGUGGGGGAUGAAGGCCUUCGGGUUGUAAACCUCUUUUGCUCUGAACAAGGCAUGCCUUUGGGGUGUGUUGAGUGUAGGGGUUGAUUAGCGCCGGCUAACUACGUGCCAGCAGCCGCGGUAAUACGGAGGGUGCAAGCGUUAAUCGGAAUUACUGGGCGUAAAGCGCACGUAGGCUGCUUUGUAAGUCAGGGGUGAAAUCCCACGGCUCAACCGUGGAACUGCCUUUGAUACUGCUUAGCUUGAGACCGGGAGAGGGUGGCGGAAUUCCAGGUGUAGGGGUGAAAACCGUAGAUAUCUGGAGGAACAUCAGUGGCGAAGGCGGCCACCUGGGCCGGUAUUGACGCUGAGGGGCGAAAGCGUGGGGGGCGAACAGG